RNAcentral lists this ribosomal RNA (498 nucleotides) under Corynebacterium glucuronolyticum. RNAcentral describes it as "bacterial SSU rRNA". It matches the Rfam family "Bacterial small subunit ribosomal RNA", at positions 53 to 563 of the family's 1533-position model. Lineage: Bacteria; Bacillati; Actinomycetota; Actinomycetes; Mycobacteriales; Corynebacteriaceae. The record is from RNAcentral.
ACAUGCAAGUCGAACGGAAAGGCUCCAGCUUGCUGGGGUGCUCGAGUGGCGAACGGGUGAGUAACACGUAAGUGAUCUGCCCUGCACUGGGGGAUAAGCUUGGGAAACUGGGUCUAAUACCCUAUAGGACCGCAUCGUGGUUGGUGUGGUGGAAAGGUUUUUCUGGUGUGGGAUGAGCUUGCGGCCUAUCAGCUUGUUGGUGGGGUAAUGGCCUACCAAGGCGGCGACGGGUAGCCGGCCUGAGAGGGUGUGCGGCCACAUUGGGACUGAGAUACGGCCCAGACUCCUACGGGAGGCAGCAGUGGGGAAUUUUGCACAAUGGGCGGAAGCCUGAUGCAGCGACGCCGUGUGGGGGAUGAAGGCCUUCGGGUUGUAAACUCCUUUCGUCAGGGACGAAGUUUUUUUGACGGUACCUGGAUAAGAAGCACCGGCUAACUACGUGCCAGCAGCCGCGGUAAUACGUAGGGUGCGAGCGUUGUCCGGAUUUACUGGGCGUAA